CGCUGGCGGCGUGCUUAACACAUGCAAGUCGAACGAGAAGAGAUGAGAAGCUUGCUUCUUAUCAAUUCGAGUGGCAAACGGGUGAGUAACGCGUAAGCAACCUGCCCUUCAGAUGGGGGACAACAGCUGGAAACGGCUGCUAAUACCGAAUACGUUCUUUUUGUCGCAUGGCAGAGGGAAGAAAGGGGAAGGCUCUUCGGAGCUUUCGCUGAAGGAGGGGCUUGCGUCUGAUUAGCUAGUUGGAGGGGUAACGGCCCACCAAGGCGACGAUCAGUAGCCGGUCUGAGAGGAUGAACGGCCACAUUGGGACUGAGACACGGCCCAGACUCCUACGGGAGGCAGCAGUGGGGAAUCUUCCGCAAUGGACGAAAGUCUGACGGAGCAACGCCGCGUGAACGAUGACGGCCUUCGGGUUGUAAAGUUCUGUUAUACGGGACGAAUGGCGUAGCGGUCAAUACCCGUUACGAGUGACGGUACCGUAAGAGAAAGCCACGGCUAACUACGUG
This 506-nucleotide ribosomal RNA is filed under the name uncultured bacterium. Its description in RNAcentral is "bacterial SSU rRNA". It matches the Rfam family "Bacterial small subunit ribosomal RNA", at positions 34 to 507 of the family's 1533-position model. The record is from RNAcentral.